RNAcentral lists this ribosomal RNA (468 nucleotides) under uncultured bacterium. RNAcentral describes it as "partial 16S ribosomal RNA". It matches the Rfam family "Bacterial small subunit ribosomal RNA", at positions 28 to 507 of the family's 1533-position model. The record is from RNAcentral.
GACGAACGCUGGCGGCGUGCUUAACACAUGCAAGUCGAACGGAAAGGCCCUGCUUUUGUGGGGUGCUCGAGUGGCGAACGGGUGAGUAACACGUGAGUAACCUGCCCUUGACUUUGGGAUAACUUCAGGAAACUGGGGCUAAUACCGGAUAGGAGCUCCUGCUGCAUGGUGGGGGUUGGAAAGUUUCGGCGGUGGGGGAUGGACUCGCGGCUUAUCAGCUUGUUGGUGGGGUAGUGGCUGACCAAGGCUUUGACGGGUAGCCCGCCUGAGAGGGUGACCGGCCACAUUGGGCCUGAGAUACGGCCCAGACUCCUACGGGAGGCAGCAGUGGGGAAUAUUGCACAAUGGGCGGAAGCCUGAGGCAGCAACGCCGCGUGCGGGAUGACGGCCUUCGGGUUGUAAACCGCUUUCGCCUGUGACGAAGCGUGAGUGACGGUAAUGGGUAAAGAAGCACCGGCUAACUACGUG